RNAcentral lists this ribosomal RNA (922 nucleotides) under uncultured bacterium. RNAcentral's name for it is "bacterial SSU rRNA". It matches the Rfam family "Bacterial small subunit ribosomal RNA", at positions 48 to 990 of the family's 1533-position model. The record is from RNAcentral.
CUUACACAUGCAGUCUUUGGCAAGCUGUGCUUGCACAGUCUAGCCAAGGCGGACGGGUGAGUAACGCGUAAGGAACUUGCCCUGCAGUCAGGGAUAACAGACGGAAACGACUGAUAAAACCUGAUAAAGUCAGGCGGACUCAUGUCCAGCCUGAUGAAAAGAGAUGCUGCAGGAGAGCCUUGCGUCCUAUUAGCUUGUUGGUGGGGUAACGGCCCACCAAGGCGAUGAUAGGUAGCCGGCCUGAGAGGGUGGACGGCCACAAGGGGACUGGGAUACGGCCCUUACUCCUACGGGAGGCAGCAGUGGGGAAUAUUGGACAAUGGGGGCAACCCUGAUCCAGCAAUUCUGUGUGCACGAUGAAGGUUUUCGGAUUGUAAAGUGCUUUCAGCAGGGAAGAAAAAAAUGACGGUACCUGCAGAAGAAGCGACGGCUAAAUACGUGCCAGCAGCCGCGGUAAUACGUAUGUCGCAAGCGUUAUCCGGAAUUAUUGGGCAUAAAGGGCAUCUAGGCGGCCAGAUAAGUCUGGGGUGAAAACUUGCGGCUCAACCGCAAGCCUGCCCUGGAAACUAUGUGGCUAGAGUACUGGAGAGGUGGACGGAACUGCACGAGUAGAGGUGAAAUUCGUAGAUAUGUGCAGGAAUGCCGAUGAUGAAGAUAGUUCACUGGACGGUAACUGACGCUGAAGUGCGAAAGCUAGGGGAGCAAACAGGAUUAGAUACCCUGGUAGUCCUAGCUGUAAACGAUGAUUACUGGGUGUGGGCAUGAAGAGUGUCCGUGCCGAAGCUAAUGCGAUAAGUAAUCCGCCUGGGGAGUACGGCCGCAAGGCUGAAACUCAAAGGAAUUGACGGGGACCCGCACAAGCGGUGGAGCAUGUGGUUUAAUUCGACGCAACGCGAGGAACCUUACCAGAUCUUGACAUCCU